CUGAUAAUGAAUAACGUUGUGCUAUUAGUAUAGUAACUCAUGCGAUAUGACGGAUAGGUAAUUGAAAAAAAAUAUAUAAAAUAUCGACAAAAAAAAAGGAAACGGCGAUGGAAGAAGCGAUGAUGAGGUGUGACACCCCUAUAGUCUCAUAUCAGAUUGGAAUGGAAUUGUCAUUGAAUAUAUAAGAGGACUUUCUCCUAAUAAUAAUAACUAGUUUAAACAAUUUGGGCCGGUGGUUUUGGCCCAACGAAUUAUUAUUGCCAGUAGGUCGGAUCGUUACAUUUGGUAUCAAAAUCGGUUCACCAGUCGGAAGUGUGAGGUGAGUCUUGGC
This 331-nucleotide long non-coding RNA is filed under the name Ananas comosus (pineapple). RNAcentral describes it as "long non-coding RNA (ACOM_LNC018064)". Lineage: Eukaryota; Viridiplantae; Streptophyta; Magnoliopsida; Poales; Bromeliaceae. The record is from RNAcentral.